CAGCCGUAAACUAUGCGCGUUAGGUGUAUCGGUGACCACGAGUUACCGAGGUGCCGAAGGGAAACCGUGAAACGUGCCGCCUGGGAAGUACGGUCGCAAGGCUGAAACUUAAAGGAAUUGGCGGGGGAGGCACCACAACAGGUGGAGCCUGCGGUUUAAUUGGACUCAACGCCGGGAAGCUCACCGGAUAGGACAGCAGAAUGAUUGCCGGGCUGAAGACUCUGCAUGACUAGCUGAGAGGAGGUGCAUGGCGUAGACGUCU
This 262-nucleotide ribosomal RNA is filed under the name uncultured archaeon. Its description in RNAcentral is "partial 16S ribosomal RNA". It matches the Rfam family "Archaeal small subunit ribosomal RNA", at positions 748 to 1009 of the family's 1478-position model. The record is from RNAcentral.